This 363-nucleotide ribosomal RNA is filed under the name uncultured bacterium. RNAcentral describes it as "bacterial SSU rRNA". It matches the Rfam family "Bacterial small subunit ribosomal RNA", at positions 29 to 419 of the family's 1533-position model. The record is from RNAcentral.
AGCGAACGCUGGCGGCAGGCCUAAAACAUGCAAGUCGAACGCCGUAGCAAUACGGAGUGGCAGACGGGUGAGUAACACGUGGGAACAUACCCUUUGGUUCGGAACAACACAGGGAAACUUGUGCUAAUACCGGAUAAGCCCUUACGGGGAAAGAUUUAUCGCCAAAGGAUUGGCCCGCGUCUGAUUAGCUAGUUGGUGGCGUAACGGCCCACCAAGGCUACGAUCAGUAGCUGGUCUGAGAGGAUGAUCAGCCACACUGGGACUGAGACACGGCCCAGACUCCUACGGGAGGCAGCAGUUAGGAAUCUUGGACAAUGGGCGCAAGCCUGAUCCAGCCAUGCCGCGUGAGUGAUGAAGGCCUUA